This 399-nucleotide ribosomal RNA is filed under the name uncultured soil bacterium. RNAcentral's name for it is "bacterial SSU rRNA". It matches the Rfam family "Bacterial small subunit ribosomal RNA", at positions 26 to 454 of the family's 1533-position model. The record is from RNAcentral.
AGAACGAACGCUGGCGGCAUGCCUAAUACAUGCAAGUCGAACGAAGGCUUCGGCCUUAGUGGCGCACGGGUGCGUAACGCGUGGGAAUCUGCCCCUUGGUUCGGAAUAACAGUUGGAAACGACUGCUAAUACCGGAUGAUGACGAAAGUCCAAAGAUUUAUCGCCAAGGGAUGAGCCCGCGUAGGAUUAGCUAGUUGGUGAGGUAAAGGCUCACCAAGGCGACGAUCCUUAGCUGGUCUGAGAGGAUGAUCAGCCACACUGGGACUGAGACACGGCCCAGACUCCUACGGGAGGCAGCAGUAGGGAAUAUUGGACAAGUGGGCGAAAGCCUGAUCAGCAAUGCCGCGUGAGUGAUGAAGCGUUAGGUUGUAAAGGCUCGUUUACCGAGAUAGAUAAUGA